Molecule: small nuclear RNA, 62 nt
Filed under: Propithecus coquereli (Coquerel's sifaka)
Lineage: Eukaryota; Metazoa; Chordata; Mammalia; Primates; Indriidae
Description: U7 small nuclear RNA (ENSPCOG00000008319.1)
Rfam family: U7 small nuclear RNA
About the family: Animal histone pre-mRNAs are spliced by a different mechanism than nuclear pre-mRNAs and self-splicing introns. This processing involves the U7 snRNP, which contains only one RNA species: U7.
Source: Rfam by way of RNAcentral
GAGUGUUACAGCUCUUUUAGAAUUUGUCUAACAGGUUUUCCAGGUUUUAUCAGAAAACCUCC